RNAcentral lists this ribosomal RNA (773 nucleotides) under Protorhabditis sp. 1 GVDU-2019. RNAcentral's name for it is "SSU rRNA". It matches the Rfam family "Eukaryotic small subunit ribosomal RNA", at positions 102 to 921 of the family's 1831-position model. Lineage: Eukaryota; Metazoa; Nematoda; Chromadorea; Rhabditida; Rhabditidae. The record is from RNAcentral.
UAGAGCAGUUAAACGCUAUUCCGUCGAUCCUUAUAGGAUAACUGCGGAAAUACUGGAGCUAAUACUUUUAACAAAACGCUAGUCGCAAGAUUAGCGGCAGUUAUUAGUGAAGACCAAUCGCCUCACGGCGUUUUGUGUUGACUCUGAGUAAAGUUCGUAUCUCGUCGGUUUAUCCGACGAAUGACGGAAAGCUUUUCUGCCCUAUCAACUAGAUGGCAGUUUAGUGGACUGCCAUGGUUGUUACGGGUACCGGAGAAUCGGGGUUCGGCUCCGGAGAGGCAGCCUUAGAAACGGCUACCACAUCCAAGGAAGGCAGCAGGCGCGAAACUUAUCCACUAUGCAAAAUGAGAUAGUGACUAAGAAUAGAAAACCCUGCCCCUAGGGGUAGGGUAUUUAAAUGAGUGAAGUGUAAAAAUCUUCUCGAGAAACUAAGAGAGGGCAAGUCUGGUGCCAGCAGCCGCGGUAAUUCCAGCUCUCUUAGCGUACAUCGUUACUGCUGAGGUUAAAAAGCUCAUAGUUGAUUUUAUGUGGACGUGAUUGGUUCGCCUCGUGCGUUAACUGAUCUGUCUGCAAAGUGUCGGUCUUGACUUCGGUCGUGGCUGGCGAGUUUACCUUGAUUAAAUCAAGGUGCUCAGAACAGGCGUUUGCUUGUAUGUGUUAUCAAGGAAUAAUGGAAAAAGAUUUCGAUCCUUUCCUUUGGUCUAUGGAUUGAGAUAAUGACUAAUAGGAGCAUACGGGGCCAAUCGUAUUCCUGCGGGAGGGGUGAAAUCCUA